GGUCUCAGGCUUGUAUACCAUCUAAGUACAGUUUUAAAACUAGGUGCUUAGAAAAAGGAGAGAGAGAGUAAAGCUGUCCUAUGUACACUUCAGCCCAGGCCUUGUGACUUGUUUGUAUUGUGAACGGGGAAACAUAA
Molecule: small nucleolar RNA, 137 nt
Organism: Cavia porcellus (domestic guinea pig)
Lineage: Eukaryota; Metazoa; Chordata; Mammalia; Rodentia; Caviidae
Product: small nucleolar RNA SNORA51
Source: Ensembl